RNAcentral lists this non-coding RNA (69 nucleotides) under Janthinobacterium sp. Its description in RNAcentral is "SAH sequence". It matches the Rfam family "SAH (S-adenosyl-L-homocysteine) riboswitch aptamer". Lineage: Bacteria; Pseudomonadati; Pseudomonadota; Betaproteobacteria; Burkholderiales; Oxalobacteraceae. RNAcentral also lists the same sequence under 1 other name. The record is from RNAcentral.
CCUUCCGAGGAGCGUUGCGACGAAUCACGAAUUCGCCAGGCUCGGAGUCCCAAACCGCGCUCACGUUAC